Molecule: ribosomal RNA, 250 nt
Filed under: uncultured bacterium
Lineage: Bacteria
Description: partial 16S ribosomal RNA
Rfam family: Bacterial small subunit ribosomal RNA
Source: RNAcentral
GGAUGAGAAUCUUCGGCAAUGGGCGCAAGCCUGACCGAGCGACGCCGCGUGCGGGAUGAAGGCCUUCGGGUUGUAAACCGCUGUCGUAGGGGAGCAAGGGGAAACCUUGAGCGAUCCUAGGAGGAAGGACCGGCUAAGUUCGUGCCAGCAGCCGCGGUAAUACGAACGGUCCAAACGUUAUUCGGAAUCACUGGGCUUAAAGAGUCCGUAGGCGGCUUGGAAAGUGGGGUGUGAAAUCCCUCGGCUUAAC